Non-coding RNA from Malus domestica (apple), 1622 nucleotides. The record is from RefSeq and is a predicted model, not a curated record. Lineage: Eukaryota; Viridiplantae; Streptophyta; Magnoliopsida; Rosales; Rosaceae.
CGGCCUGUCCUUUAAUGUUUAUAGGGAAUAUCUGUAGAGGAUAGAAUUUUUCUUUAGAUUGGUGACUUGAUCAAGACAACGAUUGAUGGAGAAAUGAGUAAAUCUUGCAAAUCUUAUAUACCUCCGACAUUAUAACCCACGGAACUGCUCCCAUUCCUAUCGAAAAAGAUCCUAUAAAGAUCUGAAUUCAGAAACUAACUGUUAGUUAAAGAAUGUAAGGAGAAGAAAAUACACGAAAAAGAUAGUUUUCAAACUGAUCUGCAUGGAUGAAUUAAAGGAGUUACUUACCAAUAUGCCUGCUACAGCAAAUAUGGGAGCUGCGUCGAGUACCAAUUCAUGAACCUGGUUAACAAAGAGCUCUCUUGUCAUCGUUUAGAUAAAGCUAAACACCAAGAUUAGGGUCAAUGUUCGAGGAUUACCUUCAGAAAGAAUGAAAUGGCAACAAGGACACAGCCAAGUAUCAACCCUGAUGCAGAAGCCUAGAGUAAAUUGGGAAAAAGUUAAAACUUCCGCGUAUGAAUAGGAAUCUGUCUCAUAAAAUUCUCAAGAACUAAAACUGUGCUCUAACUUACCAAAAUUAGAGGCUUUCUUCCCGCUUUAUCCAUCACGGCUGCACCAAGGCCAGUUACGACAACCUGUAGAUCAGAACCAGAUCAAGAUGCUUAUAACUGAGAGAAAUUGAAAUAUUCCAAGAGUUGUCACAGUAUGUAUGUAGAACCUGAAGAAUGGCGUAGGUUAUAGUUCCGAUGUCUGGAGAAAAUCCUGAUGUAGAAAACAAUAUCUUUCUUAAGUGAGUCAGUUUGCACUCUGGAAAAUGAAAAAGAUACAGACAGGUAUAUUGAAAUUGUAUAUAUAUACCUGCUUGCUCAAAUAUAUCACUGACAUAGAAACAGACCCCGUUGAUUCCCCCCAAUUGUUGACAGACCAUCAACCCGACUGCAAUCUGAAACAAAUCAAGCAAUUUGGCUUCAGGGAAAGAACAAUAAAAUUGACUGUACACAUGGUGUAGGGAGAAGUUCUUACAAUGACCGAGCGCAAGUAUCUCGUUUGAAACAAAUCGAGCAAUUUGGAUUGAGGGAGCCGAUCAAGAGUUGCGAUAUACUCCUGCCAAUAUAAACAGAAAAUGCAAAAGAGUACUUUCUUACCAACCAUCUUGGAGACUCGGGAAUGAAAAAGAGACCGAAAAUGAUCACAGCACAGGGAACAAUUCCUGCAAUCAUCGCACAGCAGUUAGUCUUCCUCGAAGAUUUUUUGGCGCAAUCUCAGCUACGAAAACAGAAGAGGGUGAUGACUCACAAUGUACGAAAAUGCUCCACUUCCGUACCCAGUUGCCACUCUUCCGACAUCCAGAGACACAGCCCCCUUCAACAGAAAAUGAUGAAGAACGCGAAUAAGGUCAAAUAUUUACUGAGAAGGUAAAAUCACAGAGAAAUUCCAGCAUAAAAUUAGUACGAACCUUGGAGAAGUAAAUAGCAAGCCAGCCUGCAACACAGAAAACGCAGGACAUUCUCAAUGCCUGCACACAAUUUUACAGUAUUGAUACUGUUAGACAGCGAAUAUCGGUGAACCAAAUUAGGUGAUGUCUAUAUGUGACAUAAUUUUCGAACUCAUACCCCUUUUCG